This 72-nucleotide transfer RNA is filed under the name Urocitellus parryii (Arctic ground squirrel). RNAcentral describes it as "Spermophilus parryii (Arctic ground squirrel) tRNA". It matches the Rfam family "tRNA". From Rfam's summary of the family: Transfer RNA (tRNA) molecules are approximately 80 nucleotides in length. Their secondary structure includes four short double-helical elements and three loops (D, anti-codon, and T loops). Further hydrogen bonds mediate the characteristic L-shaped molecular structure. tRNAs have two regions of fundamental functional importance: the anti-codon, which is responsible for specific mRNA codon recognition, and the 3' end, to which the tRNAs corresponding amino acid is attached (by aminoacyl-tRNA synthetases). tRNAs cope with the degeneracy of the genetic code in two manners: having more than one tRNA (with a specific anti-codon) for a particular amino acid; and 'wobble' base-pairing, i.e. permitting non-standard base-pairing at the 3rd anti-codon position. Lineage: Eukaryota; Metazoa; Chordata; Mammalia; Rodentia; Sciuridae. The record is from Rfam by way of RNAcentral. RNAcentral also lists the same sequence under 2 other names.
UGAGUUGUAGCUCAGUGGUAGAGCACUUGCCUAGCACAUGUGAGGCCCUGGGUUCAAUCCUCAGCACCACAU